This 4312-nucleotide long non-coding RNA is filed under the name Sorghum bicolor (sorghum). RNAcentral describes it as "long non-coding RNA (SBIC_LNC008710)". Lineage: Eukaryota; Viridiplantae; Streptophyta; Magnoliopsida; Poales; Poaceae. The record is from RNAcentral.
CAAGCUGAAUUUUGACGUAAUUUCUCUUGAUGUAGCUAGCAGGUGGUAGAGGUGUAUUUGAAAGUCAGCAGCAUUCUGACAGCGAUUAGGAUGUCCUCCGUCUGCUAGUCUUCUUGAUUCUUAAAUUCUGUGGAGCUCAAAUAGACAACAAAGCUUGUGGAACUGAUUAAGUGUUAGCAUAAAAAUCUAGCCUUUAUCAUGUUGAGACUCCUUAAUAAUUAUUACUCCCUGUUUUUAUAUUUUUAUUUUUAUAAAGCAGAAAAAUAUUUAUUUUAUUUUUAUGCCACCACAGUGAAUGUACUUAUGGGUUUCAUGCCACUCGUCUACUCACAUGGGGCUUACUGUUUUUAACAUUUUUAUUUUCUUUUUAAGAUAGUGUGAAUAUGAUUAACUAAGUAAACUAUUUGAAAUAAUUGAAAGGGAAAUGAUAACUACCAAGUUUACCUCUUGGCAAGGCGUUCGGUGUUUUUAAGUCCUCCGAACGGGACUCUCCAUUUUCUAAAUCGUCCUGAGGUUCGUUGGGUGGCGUAGUCGGUACUUCCGGCAGUGCCUCCUCUUCUUGUAUAGUUAUCUUCAUUUUCCAUACCUGACUCGGUGCUUCAAUCUCCUCUGGGUAAUUCUGUUUAAACUCAACGUCUUCUGAUCUUACAACUUCUCCUUCAUAGUCUGCCCAUCCGUCCUUGAUGAUCUGCCUCCUCUGGUUGCGGUUGCGUCUCUUUCUGACCUGCUUAGAUUCUUCAACGAUAUAGUCAGGGUCAGUAAAAUAACGGCGUACCUUCUCUGAGGGGAAGUGCAUAUGGACUUCUCCGGUUCCAAUGUAGAUAAUCGCUUUAACGGUGCUGAGGAACGGUCUUUCAACGAUGAUGGGUGGAUCAUACUCGUCUUCUCCCAUGUCAACAACUUGAAAGUCUGUGUAGACAAAGUGAUCGUCUAUUUUGACUGGGACAUCAGAUACUAUUCCUUUAACUUCUCGAAAUGUCUGAUCUGCCAUCUGGAGCUGAAUGUAUGUUGGUCUUAGUGGCAUGGUCCCGAACAAGAGCCGAUAGGUGACUGCGGCCAUUAAGUUGACGACCGAUCUGGUGUCGCAAAUCGUCUUGUAGAAGUUGUAUCCAUUUGUGGAGCAGUAGAUGCUUGGCAUUCCUGGGUCGUCCUUCUUGGUCAAAAACGGUGACUUAAGUUGGUGAUCUUAACCUCAAAGAACUACAGUGACCAUCUUAGCUGACUCGGUCCACACUUGCUUGUUCUUGUUUCUCCUGUUGGUCCUCUUCCUUGAUUUACGUCUGGAUUGAUCUUGAAUUUUUGUAGUCUUGUUCUUGAAGAAAAACGUCUCCUUCUUCCCUUUGACGUAGAAACUGAUCUUGGCAGCACUAGCGUAGAUGAUAGCUCCCGUGGUGUUCAAAAAUGGCCUCCCUAGGAUGAUAGGUGCUCUCUCAUCAUUUCCGGUCUCUACCACUACGAAGUCUGCUGGGGCAUACAAGGUACCAACUCGGACGCAAAGGUUCCUCACUAUUCCUUUUGGAAAAGUUAUCGUCUGAUCUGCAAACUGCAAACACAUGGUUGUCUCUAAUAAAGGAUAUGUAAAGAAUUUCUCAUAGAGUACCCUGGGUAUAAUGUUGACACUAGAGCCAAAGUCACAGAGUGCUUCUGGAACGUCCACCAUGCCGAUGGAGAUCGGGAUGACGGGGCGUCCUGGAUCGCCUCUCUUGACCGGCAGACGGUCAGUAGAAAAUUCAGUGACGGGGUUACUCCAAUUACCUGCAUCAAACACGUCUACAAGAUUUGCAGAUUCUAAUCCUUCCGGUUGUGAUGGUAUACCGGGGUUAGUAGUAGGAACAGCAGCAGCUAUUUGAUUUAACUGAGAUUCAAUCAUUUUAUUAAAGCUAAUUUGAUUCUUGAUGGCAGUAGAAAAAUUAUCCAUCCUAUUAUUUAUAUUUUCUAGCAUUUUAUCAUUAGAUGCCAAUUUCUUAGAUAGGUUAUCCAUUAGCUUUCCUUGCUUAGACACUAACUCUCUCAAAGGUGGAAAAUUAUUAUUAUUGUUGUAAGAAUUGUUACCUUGACAGCCUCUGUUGAUUCCAACCUUGAUUUUGUUGAGGACGGUUGUAGUAGUAGUUGUUGUUGUUUUUGAUGUAGUUCACAUCCUCAAGUAUCUCAGGGCAGUGGUUGCCUGAGUGUCCAGUGUCUCCACACUCCUCACAAGUCAUGUGAGAGUCGUAGAUGUGCAUAACUUCUUUCUUGUCUCCAGCUCUAUCAUCGAGCUUCUUCAUGAGCAGGUCUAGCUUUGUAGACAGCAUAUCUACCUCUUUCAGCUGAUGCAUUUCUCUUGAUGUAGCUAGCAGGUGGUAGAGGUGUAUUUGAAAGUCAGCAGCAUUCUGACAGCGAUUAGGAUGUCCUCCGUCUGCUAGUCUUCUUGAUUCUUAAAUUCUGUGGAGCUCAAAUAGACAACAAAGCUUGUGGAACUGAUUAAGUGUUAGCAUAAAAAUCUAGCCUUUAUCAUGUUGAGACUCCUUAAUAAUUAUUACUCCCUGUUUUUAUAUUUUUAUUUUUAUAAAGCAGAAAAAUAUUUAUUUUAUUUUUAUGCCACCACAGUGAAUGUACUUAUGGGUUUCAUGCCACUCGUCUACUCACAUGGGGCUUACUGUUUUUAACAUUUUUAUUUUCUUUUUAAGAUAGUGUGAAUAUGAUUAACUAAGUAAACUAUUUGAAAUAAUUGAAAGGGAAAUGAUAACUACCAAGUUUACCUCUUGGCAAGGCGUUCGGUGUUUUUAAGUCCUCCGAACGGGACUCUCCAUUUUCUAAAUCGUCCUGAGGUUCGUUGGGUGGCGUAGUCGGUACUUCCGGCAGUGCCUCCUCUUCUUGUAUAGUUAUCUUCAUUUUCCAUACCUGACUCGGUGCUUCAAUCUCCUCUGGGUAAUUCUGUUUAAACUCAACGUCUUCUGAUCUUACAACUUCUCCUUCAUAGUCUGCCCAUCCGUCCUUGAUGAUCUGCCUCCUCUGGUUGCGGUUGCGUCUCUUUCUGACCUGCUUAGAUUCUUCAACGAUAUAGUCAGGGUCAGUGAAAUAACGGCGUACCUUCUCUGAGGGGAAGUGCAUAUGGACUUCUCCGGUUCCAAUGUAGAUAAUCGCUUUAACGGUGCUGAGGAACGGUCUUUCAACGAUGAUGGGUGGAUCAUACUCGUCUUCUCCCAUGUCAACAACUUGAAAGUCUGUGUAGACAAAGUGAUCGUCUAUUUUGACUGGGACAUCAGAUACUAUUCCUUUAACUUCUCGAAAUGUCUGAUCUGCCAUCUAGAGCUGAAUGUAUGUUGGUCUUAGUGGCAUGGUCCCGAACAAGAGCCGAUAGGUGACUGCGGCCAUUAAGUUGACGACCGAUCUGGUGUCGCAAAUCGUCUUGUAGAAGUUGUAUCCAUUUGUGGAGCAAUAGAUGCUUGGCAUUCCUGGGUCGUCCUUCUUGGUCAAAAACGGUGACUUAAGUUGGUGAUCUUGACCUCAAAGAACUACAGUGACCAUCUUAGCUGACUCGGUCCACACUUGCUUGUUCUUGUUUCUCCUGUUGGUCCUCUUCCUUGAUUUACGUCUGGAUUGAUCUUGAAUUUUUGUAGUCUUGUUCUUGAAGAAAAACGUCUCCUUCUUCCCUUUGACGUAGAAACUGAUCUUGGCAGCACUAGCGUAGAUGAUAGCUCCCGUGGUGUUCAAAAAUGGCCUCCCUAGGAUGAUAGGUGCUCUCUCAUCAUUUCCGGUCUCUACCACUACGAAGUCUGCUGGGGCAUACAAGGUACCAACUCAGACGCAAAGGUUCCUCACUAUUCCUUUUGGAAAAGUUAUCGUCUGAUCUGCAAACUGCAAACACAUGGUUGUCUCUAAUAAAGGAUAUGUAAAGAAUUUCUCAUAGAGUACCCUGGGUAUAAUGUUGACACUAGAGCCAAAGUCACAGAGUGCUUCUGGAACGUCCACCAUGCCGAUGGAGAUCGGGAUGACGGGGCGUCCUGGAUCGCCUCUCUUGACCGGCAGACGGUCAGUAGAAAAUUCAGUGACGGGGUUACUCCAAUUACCUGCAUCAAACACGUCUACAAGAUUUGCAGAUUCUAAUCCUUCCGGUUGUGAUGGUAUACCGGGGUUAGUAGUAGGAACAGCAGCAGCUAUUUGAUUUAACUGAGAUUCAAUCAUUUUAUUAAAGCUAAUUUGAUUCUUGAUGGCAGUAGAAAAAUUAUCCAUCCUAUUAUUUAUAUUUUCUAGCAUUUUAUCAUUAGAUGCCAAUUUCUUAGAUAGGUUAUCCAUUAGCUUUCCUUGCUUAGACACUAACUCUCUCAAAGGU